RNAcentral lists this ribosomal RNA (2903 nucleotides) under Escherichia coli. RNAcentral describes it as "23S ribosomal RNA". It matches the Rfam family "Bacterial large subunit ribosomal RNA". Lineage: Bacteria; Pseudomonadati; Pseudomonadota; Gammaproteobacteria; Enterobacterales; Enterobacteriaceae. The record is from RNAcentral.
GGUUAAGCGACUAAGCGUACACGGUGGAUGCCCUGGCAGUCAGAGGCGAUGAAGGACGUGCUAAUCUGCGAUAAGCGUCGGUAAGGUGAUAUGAACCGUUAUAACCGGCGAUUUCCGAAUGGGGAAACCCAGUGUGAUUCGUCACACUAUCAUUAACUGAAUCCAUAGGUUAAUGAGGCGAACCGGGGGAACUGAAACAUCUAAGUACCCCGAGGAAAAGAAAUCAACCGAGAUUCCCCCAGUAGCGGCGAGCGAACGGGGAGCAGCCCAGAGCCUGAAUCAGUGUGUGUGUUAGUGGAAGCGUCUGGAAAGGCGCGCGAUACAGGGUGACAGCCCCGUACACAAAAAUGCACAUGCUGUGAGCUCGAUGAGUAGGGCGGGACACGUGGUAUCCUGUCUGAAUAUGGGGGGACCAUCCUCCAAGGCUAAAUACUCCUGACUGACCGAUAGUGAACCAGUACCGUGAGGGAAAGGCGAAAAGAACCCCGGCGAGGGGAGUGAAAAAGAACCUGAAACCGUGUACGUACAAGCAGUGGGAGCCUCUUUAUGGGGUGACUGCGUACCUUUUGUAUAAUGGGUCAGCGACUUAUAUUCUGUAGCAAGGUUAACCGAAUAGGGGAGCCGAAGGGAAACCGAGUCUUAACUGGGCGUUAAGUUGCAGGGUAUAGACCCGAAACCCGGUGAUCUAGCCAUGGGCAGGUUGAAGGUUGGGUAACACUAACUGGAGGACCGAACCGACUAAUGUUGAAAAAUUAGCGGAUGACUUGUGGCUGGGGGUGAAAGGCCAAUCAAACCGGGAGAUAGCUGGUUCUCCCCGAAAGCUAUUUAGGUAGCGCCUCGUGAACUCAUCUCCGGGGGUAGAGCACUGUUUCGGCAAGGGGGUCAUCCCGACUUACCAACCCGAUGCAAACUGCGAAUACCGGAGAAUGUUAUCACGGGAGACACACGGCGGGUGCUAACGUCCGUCGUGAAGAGGGAAACAACCCAGACCGCCAGCUAAGGUCCCAAAGUCAUGGUUAAGUGGGAAACGAUGUGGGAAGGCCCAGACAGCCAGGAUGUUGGCUUAGAAGCAGCCAUCAUUUAAAGAAAGCGUAAUAGCUCACUGGUCGAGUCGGCCUGCGCGGAAGAUGUAACGGGGCUAAACCAUGCACCGAAGCUGCGGCAGCGACGCUGAUGCGUUGUUGGGUAGGGGAGCGUUCUGUAAGCCUGUGAAGGUGUGCUGUGAGGCAUGCUGGAGGUAUCAGAAGUGCGAAUGCUGACAUAAGUAACGAUAAAGCGGGUGAAAAGCCCGCUCGCCGGAAGACCAAGGGUUCCUGUCCAACGUUAAUCGGGGCAGGGUGAGUCGACCCCUAAGGCGAGGCCGAAAGGCGUAGUCGAUGGGAAACAGGUUAAUAUUCCUGUACUUGGUGUUACUGCGAAGGGGGGACGGAGAAGGCUAUGUUGGCCGGGCGACGGUUGUCCCGGUUUAAGCGUGUAGGCUGGUUUUCCAGGCAAAUCCGGAAAAUCAAGGCUGAGGCGUGAUGACGAGGCACUACGGUGCUGAAGCAACAAAUGCCCUGCUUCCAGGAAAAGCCUCUAAGCAUCAGGUAACAUCAAAUCGUACCCCAAACCGACACAGGUGGUCAGGUAGAGAAUACCAAGGCGCUUGAGAGAACUCGGGUGAAGGAACUAGGCAAAAUGGUGCCGUAACUUCGGGAGAAGGCACGCUGAUAUGUAGGUGAAGUCCCUCGCGGAUGGAGCUGAAAUCAGUCGAAGAUACCAGCUGGCUGCAACUGUUUAUUAAAAACACAGCACUGUGCAAACACGAAAGUGGACGUAUACGGUGUGACGCCUGCCCGGUGCCGGAAGGUUAAUUGAUGGGGUCAGCGCAAGCGAAGCUCUUGAUCGAAGCCCCGGUAAACGGCGGCCGUAACUAUAACGGUCCUAAGGUAGCGAAAUUCCUUGUCGGGUAAGUUCCGACCUGCACGAAUGGCGUAAUGAUGGCCAGGCUGUCUCCACCCGAGACUCAGUGAAAUUGAACUCGCUGUGAAGAUGCAGUGUACCCGCGGCAAGACGGAAAGACCCCGUGAACCUUUACUAUAGCUUGACACUGAACAUUGAGCCUUGAUGUGUAGGAUAGGUGGGAGGCUUAGAAGUGUGGACGCCAGUCUGCAUGGAGCCGACCUUGAAAUACCACCCUUUAAUGUUUGAUGUUCUAACGUUGACCCGUAAUCCGGGUUGCGGACAGUGUCUGGUGGGUAGUUUGACUGGGGCGGUCUCCUCCUAAAGAGUAACGGAGGAGCACGAAGGUUGGCUAAUCCUGGUCGGACAUCAGGAGGUUAGUGCAAUGGCAUAAGCCAGCUUGACUGCGAGCGUGACGGCGCGAGCAGGUGCGAAAGCAGGUCAUAGUGAUCCGGUGGUUCUGAAUGGAAGGGCCAUCGCUCAACGGAUAAAAGGUACUCCGGGGAUAACAGGCUGAUACCGCCCAAGAGUUCAUAUCGACGGCGGUGUUUGGCACCUCGAUGUCGGCUCAUCACAUCCUGGGGCUGAAGUAGGUCCCAAGGGUAUGGCUGUUCGCCAUUUAAAGUGGUACGCGAGCUGGGUUUAGAACGUCGUGAGACAGUUCGGUCCCUAUCUGCCGUGGGCGCUGGAGAACUGAGGGAGGCUGCUCCUAGUACGAGAGGACCGGAGUGGACGCAUCACUGGUGUUCGGGUUGUCAUGCCAAUGGCACUGCCCGGUAGCUAAAUGCGGAAGAGAUAAGUGCUGAAAGCAUCUAAGCACGAAACUUGCCCCGAGAUGAGUUCUCCCUGACUCCUUGAGAGUCCUGAAGGAACGUUGAAGACGACGACGUUGAUAGGCCGGGUGUGUAAGCGCAGCGAUGCGUUGAGCUAACCGGUACUAAUGAACCGUGAGGCUUAACCUU